This 307-nucleotide unclassified non-coding RNA is filed under the name plant metagenome. RNAcentral describes it as "partial contains 5.8S ribosomal RNA, internal transcribed spacer 2, and large subunit ribosomal RNA". The stretch from base 1 to 105 matches the Rfam family "5.8S ribosomal RNA", at positions 50 to 154 of the family's 154-position model. The record is from RNAcentral.
GAAAUGCGAUAAGUAAUGUGAAUUGCAGAAUUCAGUGAAUCAUCGAAUCUUUGAACACACAUUGCGCCCGCCAGCACUCUGGCGGGCAUGCCUGUUCGAGCGUCAUUUCAACCCUCAGAACCCCUUGCGGGAUCUGGCGUUGGGGAUUGGCAUCCAGCCAGCCCCGAAAUCUAGUGGCGGUCCCUCCGCGACCUCCCCUGUGCAGUAGCGAUACCUCGCAGCGGGACAGCGGUCUGACCACGCCGUAAAACCCCCAACUUCUCAAGGUUGACCUCGAAUCAGGUAGGAAUACCCGCUAAACUUAAGC